This 378-nucleotide ribosomal RNA is filed under the name uncultured bacterium. RNAcentral describes it as "bacterial SSU rRNA". It matches the Rfam family "Bacterial small subunit ribosomal RNA", at positions 28 to 407 of the family's 1533-position model. The record is from RNAcentral.
GACGAACGCUGGCGGCGUGCUUAACACAUGCAAGUCGAGCGGUAAGGCCCUUUCGGGGGUACACGAGCGGCGAACGGGUGAGUAACACGUGGGUGACCUGCCCUCAGCUCUGGGAUAAGCCUGGGAAACCGGGUCUAAUACUGGAUAUGACUCCAUGACGCAUGUUGUGGGGUGGAAAGCCUUGUGCGGCUGAGGAUGGGCCCGCGGCCUAUCAGCUUGUUGGUGGGGNGAUGGCCUACCAAGGCGACGACGGGUAGCCGGCCUGAGAGGGCGACCGGCCACACUGGGACUGAGACACGGCCCAGACUCCUACGGGAGGCAGCAGUGGGGAAUCUUGCGCAAUGGGCGAAAGCCUGACGCAGCGACGCCGCGUGAGGG